UGAGGAAUAUUGGUCAAUGGGUGCAAGCCUGAACCAGCCAUCCCGCGUGAAGGACGACUGCCCUAUGGGUUGUAAACUUCUUUUGUAUAGGGAUAAACCUACCCUCGUGAGGGUAGUUGAAGGAACUAUACGAAUAAGCACCGGCUAACUCCGUGCCAGCAGCCGCGUUAAUACGGAGGGUGCAAGCGUUAUCCGGAUUUAUUGGGUUUAAAGGGUCCGUAGGCGGACUUAUAAGUCAGUGGUGAAAGCCUGUCGCUUAACGAUAGAACUGCCAUUGAUACUGUAAGUCUUGAGUAUAUUUGAGGUAGCUGGAAUAAGUAGUGUAGCGGUGAAAUGCAUAGAUAUUACUUAGAACACCAAUUGCGAAGGCAGGUUACCAAGAUAUAACUGACGCUGAGGGACGAAAGCGUGGGGAGCGAACAGG
RNAcentral lists this ribosomal RNA (424 nucleotides) under Acidobacteriota bacterium. RNAcentral describes it as "Acidobacteria bacterium partial 16S ribosomal RNA". It matches the Rfam family "Bacterial small subunit ribosomal RNA", at positions 355 to 776 of the family's 1533-position model. The record is from RNAcentral. Lineage: Bacteria; Pseudomonadati; Acidobacteriota.